Molecule: ribosomal RNA, 500 nt
Filed under: uncultured bacterium
Lineage: Bacteria
Description: partial 16S ribosomal RNA
Rfam family: Bacterial small subunit ribosomal RNA
Source: RNAcentral
AUUGAACGCUGGCGGCAGGCCUAACACAUGCAAGUCGAGCGGAUGACGGGAGCUUGCUCCUUGAUUCAGCGGCGGACGGGUGAGUAAUGCCUAGGAAUCUGCCUGGUAGUGGGGGACAACGUUUCGAAAGGAACGCUAAUACCGCAUACGUCCUACGGGAGAAAGCAGGGGACCUUCGGGCCUUGCGCUAUCAGAUGAGCCUAGGUCGGAUUAGCUUGUUGGUGAGGUAAUGGCUCACCAAGGCGCCGAUCCGUAACUGGUCUGAGAGGAUGAUCAGUCACACUGGAACUGAGACACGGUCCAGACUCCUACGGGAGGCAGCAGUGGGGAAUAUUGGACAAUGGGCGAAAGCCUGAUCCAGCCAUGCCGCGUGUGUGAAGAAGGUCUUCGGAUUGUAAAGCACUUUAAGUUGGGAGGAAGGGUUGUAGAUUAAUACUCUGCAAUUUUGACGUUACCGACAGAAUAAGCACCGGCUAACUCUGUGCCAGCCGCCGCUGUAA